UACGUAGGCAGCAAGCGUUGUUCGGAGUUACUGGGCGUAAAGGGUGCGUAGGCGGUCCUAUAAGUAUGGUGUGAAAUCUCCCGGCUUAACUGGGAGGGUGCGCUAUAGACUGUGGGACUAGAGUGUGGGAGAGGAAAGUGGAAUUCCUGGUGUAGCGGUGAAAUGCGCAGAUAUCAGGAGGAACACCAAUGGCGAAGGCAGCUCGCUGGGACGGUACUGACGCUGAGACGCGAAAGCGUGGGGAGCGAACAGG
RNAcentral lists this ribosomal RNA (253 nucleotides) under uncultured bacterium. RNAcentral's name for it is "partial 16S ribosomal RNA". It matches the Rfam family "Bacterial small subunit ribosomal RNA", at positions 524 to 776 of the family's 1533-position model. The record is from RNAcentral.